UCGGGAAUUUUGGGCAAUGGGCGAAAGCCUGACCCAGCAACGCCGCGUGAAGGAUGAAAUCCCUCGGGAUGUAAACUUCGCAAGAAUGGGAAGAAUAAGUAGAAGAUAAUACCUUCUAUGAUGACGGUACCAUUUGUAAGCUCCGGCUAACUCCGUGCCAGCAGCCGCGGUAAUACGGGGGGAGCAAGCGUUGUUCGGAUUUACUGGGCGUAAAGGGCGCGUAGGCGGCCACGACAAGUCAGUUGUGAAAUCUCUGGGCUUAACUCAGAACGGUCAACUGAUACUGUCGGGCUAGAGUGCAGAAGGGGCAACUGGAAUUCUCGGUGUAGCGGUGAAAUGCGUAGAUAUCGAGAGGAACACCUGCGGCGAAGGCGGGUUGCUGGGCUGACACUGACGCUGAGGCGCGAAAGCUAGGGGAGCGAACGGGAUUAGAUACCCCGGUAGUCCUAGCCUUAAACGAUGAAUGCUUGGUGUCUCGGGUUUUAUAGUCCCGAGGUGCCGUCGCUAACGCAUUAAGCA
RNAcentral lists this ribosomal RNA (519 nucleotides) under uncultured bacterium. RNAcentral's name for it is "bacterial SSU rRNA". It matches the Rfam family "Bacterial small subunit ribosomal RNA", at positions 355 to 866 of the family's 1533-position model. The record is from RNAcentral.